This is a long non-coding RNA of Helianthus annuus (common sunflower), 3040 nucleotides long. RefSeq lists it as uncharacterized. The record is from RefSeq and is a predicted model, not a curated record. The transcript is spliced from 11 exons. NCBI's taxonomy places the organism in Eukaryota, Viridiplantae, Streptophyta, Magnoliopsida, Asterales, Asteraceae.
GCACCAAACGGUCACUGGUGUCAGGUUCCGGGGGCAACGAUGGUGAUUCAGUUCGUUGAUUGUUGUGUAGUGGGUCAGGUGGAGGCGAGGACGACAAUGGAUGACGACGAAGAGAUAGGCUGCGAUUGGUGAGGUUGUGGUAACGAUCUGAAUCAACUCUUGGUUUUAUUUGAGAUCGUUGUGUGAGUUUGGUUUUGAAUGCUCAAGGGGUGCGAUUGUAAAAUUUCAAGGGGGCGCUAAGAAUUUUCACUACAAUUAAGUUUUGUCAAUGGUUCCGGUACCCAAGCUUGCAUUGAGGUUAUAUUUGGAAUGUGCUAAGGGUUCCAUGGUGAUUCCGGCAAGAAGGAUCUUCCGAUAUGAUUUUUGAAUCAGCAAUUACGAGUCGAUUCUCCAAUAUAGAUCCGACGGUUUCUCACAUGUUUACGGCUGUAUAGGGGCUGCAGAGACCACUAGCGGCGUGAUUUGUGAACGUUUCGCGUGAAAGCAAGAUUUCUUUCAUCUAGGUUGUUGUCUGUUCGUUCUUUUCGAGCCACAAAUGUUUAGAGGUCAUGUAAGACUUGAUACUAUGACUCAUAUAAGUUGUCAACCAUUGUGUUACCAGGCAACAUCUACAUACAGAAAUGAGGAAGGAUGAUACGUAUUAUCAUAUAAAAGACGUUGUUGGGGACAAGAUGGCGUGGGACCCAUUCAGCCACCAAAUCUUGAUGUUCAAAAUGAUUAAAUGUGGCUCAAGAAGACAAGCCAGCUAGCAACAGAGAACCUAAUCUAAAGCUGGACAAGGUAAUAGCUCAUAAACCAUGAUUUGAUCGUUCAUCUUUGUUAAAACGAGUUGUUUAAGUUUGACCCAAAAUAUUUUUUACCAUUUUUACAGUUCCUUCAUCUAUGUUGAAAUGGGCUGGUUUGGUUUGACCAAAAAUACUUUUGUCUAUUUUAAAAUUUUAAAAAUAAUCAACAACCUAGAAUAGUUACAUUGAUAAUCUAUUUAAAUCAAUUCAGGAGUUAUGUAUGCAUUAAAGUUAUGUUUAGGCAAUUUUCUACAAGUUUGGCCUUUAGGAAUAUUACAUGACCCAGAUUAACCCUUCAUAAGUAAACUACUUCAAACUGUGAGCUCUAUUAUUUUUUUUCCUAAUGUUUGUUUUCUAGGGAAAAUGUUGGUGUAAAGCACUAGCAUAUUCACCUUGGUAGUAUUUUAAAUUGUAUUUACAACUUGCUGAGUGUACAUUAUAUUAGUCUAAUGAACUAGCAUAUUCACCUUGGUGGAUAGAAAAUAAUUUUUUGGUAUGAGAAAAUUUGUUAUUCUUUAGAAUUGUGGGGUUGUCAAAUGCUACUGUAAUAUGAGGAAAGGUCGAAUUGAAUGUGUGGAUAAUUGGAGUAUAGGUUAUGAUUGUAAAAACAUUUGGGUAUUUUAAUCAAGUGGAAAGAGGCCAUGGUAACAUGUUGUUUAGGAAACGUAAUAAGCAUUAUAUGAAUAUAAACCCCACACAUUGCCUCUAAAUGGUCUAAAGUUUUAAUUUACAAAUUGGAUAUUUUAGAAAAGAAACCAACAACAAAUGGAUUUUUACUUAUGUAUUUGAGUUCACAAGUUUGCUCACAAACUGACAUAUAGCAUGUAAAUCCUUUUCUUGUAAAAAGUUUAGUAUAUAAUUAAAGGGUGCCACAUUUAUACGGACCUGAAGCAAAUAAAAAGGGGUUUGAAAGACGCGUUAAAUUAACGUUAAAAUAAAUUUGCACUAACAUUUCGAAAAUACUUGAAGUUGAGAAACCUUAUUUUCUAAUUGGUAUUAUUCAUUACAAAUUGCUUUAUUAGAAAUUUCAGUCAUUAUUUAGAAACGUAGUUUUUACCAUUCUUAUUUAAUAAGUUUAUUAACAAUAAGGUGUCAAUGGCCGGUUGGCCUGGCCCGUUUGAACCCACACUAACUACACAGUUGGCCCGAAGUUGUUCUGGCCCGGUAACCAAUCUGAACGAUCUAUCCCAACACCAAUAUGUAAUUUUUUUUAAGGAAAAUGAUUAAGAAUUGGUUAUUGGAAAAGCGGCAGAGGCUAUUGCGGAUGCUUCAGUUAGUUAGCAUAUGAGGACUUCGUUUAAGGAAGCGGGUGUCGUCAAGAAUCUUUUUCGGCUUCUUGAUUAUGACAGCGAACCCAUUCGAUUAGGCGUUAUUCGCGCUUUAGAAAGGCUUUCAGUUAGGUGGAAUCUCUUUCUUUCUGAUUAAACUUUUUUUUGUCAAAGUUUACGAGUAUAGUUUCAUUUAUAAGCACGUUUUUUUUGUGUAAAUGCAACAAUGAUGUUUGCCAGAAAAUUCAAGCUGAGGGUGUUUUGAAGCCGUUAAUAAGAUCACUGAAGAAUUCGGAUGCUUCAGAAAGUUCAACUCGUAUGAUCCUGAAUAUUCUUGGUCGGAUAUUAGAUCCCAGUAAAGAAAUGAAAUCAAAGGCCUUUGCAUCCUAAUUUGUAUAUUGUUAAGAAGAUCUAAAGCUGGUUUGAAACAUUUAAAAAUGGCAUGGAACCGACUUUAACAAGUAUAAACUACCCUAAAACAGCUAAAGUGGUAUGUUUAUGUCGUGUGCCUUGCUUAUCUUGGGCCCUCACUUUGUAAGCGUCUUCGCCUAGGCGAUAAUCAUCUGAUAUGCAACUGCUAAAGGAAACACUUAAGGGAACUGAAUGAUAAUCAGCUUACAUGUCAUAUUCCACCGGAGCUUGGAAAACUCACCGACCUGUUUGACCUUAAUGUUGCCGGGAAUAAACUCGAGGGGCACGUACCUCAGAAUCUGAGCUCUUGCACUAAUCUCAACAGCCUGUAAAAGAUUAGUUUUAAUACUAAAACACGAAACCACAUCCUUCUUUGUAUUUUUUUUCUGUCAGUAAUGGUGAUCGGUAAUGAUUGGCAGACGACGAGGUGUUGUGGUUGUGGCCGGUGGCGUUUAAUGUUGGACAGUUUAUAGUGGUCGGUUGUUGCAUUGUGUUUGUAUAAAAAGUGGUAGCUCUGAUUGAAUCAGGUAUAAAUAUAAAAUAAGGGCUGUUAUGUGCAUUUUGCUUAUUAUUUCU